This 349-nucleotide ribosomal RNA is filed under the name Escherichia coli. Its description in RNAcentral is "bacterial SSU rRNA". It matches the Rfam family "Bacterial small subunit ribosomal RNA", at positions 1197 to 1533 of the family's 1533-position model. RNAcentral also lists the same sequence under 6 other names. Lineage: Bacteria; Pseudomonadati; Pseudomonadota; Gammaproteobacteria; Enterobacterales; Enterobacteriaceae. The record is from RNAcentral.
GGCCCUUACGACCAGGGCUACACACGUGCUACAAUGGCGCAUACAAAGAGAAGCGACCUCGCGAGAGCAAGCGGACCUCAUAAAGUGCGUCGUAGUCCGGAUUGGAGUCUGCAACUCGACUCCAUGAAGUCGGAAUCGCUAGUAAUCGUGGAUCAGAAUGCCACGGUGAAUACGUUCCCGGGCCUUGUACACACCGCCCGUCACACCAUGGGAGUGGGUUGCAAAAGAAGUAGGUAGCUUAACCUUCGGGAGGGCGCUUACCACUUUGUGAUUCAUGACUGGGGUGAAGUCGUAACAAGGUAACCGUAGGGGAACCUGCGGUUGGAUCACCUCCUUACCUUAAAGAAGC